ACUGGAUUAUUAAAGUAGUAGAC
RNAcentral lists this non-coding RNA (23 nucleotides) under Cricetulus griseus (Chinese hamster). Lineage: Eukaryota; Metazoa; Chordata; Mammalia; Rodentia; Cricetidae. The record is from RNAcentral.